Molecule: small RNA, 599 nt
Filed under: Mycena sp. 8011603
Lineage: Eukaryota; Fungi; Basidiomycota; Agaricomycetes; Agaricales; Mycenaceae
Description: eukaryotic LSU rRNA
Rfam family: Eukaryotic large subunit ribosomal RNA
Source: RNAcentral
GGAUUCCCCUAGUAACUGCGAGUGAAGCGGGAAAAGCUCAAAUUUAAAAUCUGGCGGUCCCUGUGGUCGUCCGAGUUGUAAUUUAGAGAAGCGUUAUCCGCGCUGGACCGUACACAAGUCUCCUGGAAUGGAGCGUCAUAGAGGGUGAGAAUCCCGUCUUUGGUACGGACUGCCAGGGCAUUGUGAUGCGCUCUCAAAGAGUCGAGUUGUUUGGGAAUGCAGCUCAAAACGGGUGGUAAAUUCCAUCUAAAGCUAAAUAUUGAGGAGAGACCGAUAGCGAACAAGUACCGUGAGGGAAAGAUGAAAAGAACUUUGGAAAGAGAGUUAAACAGUACGUGAAAUUGCUGAAAGGGAAACGCUUGAAGUCAGUCGCGUCGUCCAGGACUCAGCCUUGCUUUUGCUUGGUGUACUUCUUGUUCGACGGGUCAACAUCAAUUUUGGUCGGUGGAUAAAGGCUUAGAGAAUGUGGCAUCUUCGGAUGUGUUAUAGCUCUGGGUCGCAUACAUCGGCUGGGAUUGAGGAACUCAGCACGCCGCAAGGCCGGGUACUUGUACCACGUACGUGCUUAGGAUGUUGGCAUAAUGGCUUUAAUCGACCCG